This is a small nucleolar RNA of Rattus norvegicus (Norway rat), 126 nucleotides long. Ensembl annotates it as small nucleolar RNA SNORA17. NCBI's taxonomy places the organism in Eukaryota, Metazoa, Chordata, Mammalia, Rodentia, Muridae. The record is from Ensembl.
CAUGCUCCUAGAGUAGGUGUGGUCAAUGUGUCACAUGUGUAUCAGUAGGUGGCCGAGAGGAGAGAGGAUAUGUCUACGCCCAGUGUUCUGACCUAUGAACAUACAGAUGUUUAGUAGCCUAAGAUU